GGCCUGGAGGAGAAGGAGAAUGCAAAAUGGAAGCGCGAGAUGGAAAUCGUCUCCUGCUGGGAAAGGGCAAGGCCACCCCAGACCUUGGGAGGAGGAGGACUCCACUUCCAGCCCAUCUACAGAGAGGGGUCAAAACAGCUUCUUGGUCUUGUCCCUCAUUGGAAAACUUCUAUACUGACACUGAGCCCCUCCGAAAUUGCCCAUGAGGGAGAACUUCAUGUAAUCUGACUGAGACAGGCUGCAGAGAUUGAUGGGAUGUGCUGAGCAGCAUCCUGGAAUCACUGACUUGGCCCCAAGUUCCACCGGGAAGCAGAGGGUUGCUGAGGACUAAACGAAGCACGUCGAGAGCAUGGCCUGGCACAGGUGAAGUGCACAGUGGACAGUGGCGAUUGUUCUCAGUCUUGAGAGGGCUGUCUGCACGUGCCGCAGCUUCCGUUCACUGUCAGCUUUAAGGAAAUGCCAGUUAAUCUGUGGGAUGUCCAGAACCGGAGAGUGGGUGAGCCUCAAGACAGGGGCAGAGGAUGGCAGCCUCCCCAGGAAGGGGUCUCCAAUCCCUUUCAGAUUCCCCCAGUGUAGAUACCCAGCAGCACUGCUCAGCUCAUGCUGGUCAGGGGCCGGGGCCCCAGCUGGGCUGGUGCUCCCUGAAGUCAGGGCCUGGCCAAGGCUCACUCCUUUGUGAAGCCCAGACCAAGGCCUGACACACGGCAGAGGCUCAGCAGCAGUUAAAGUGAACGGAGUUGGAUGUCUUAAUAACCAUACACUGGCUAACAUAUGUCCUGUGCAUACCCCAUGUGAGGCUCUGUUCUAAGCACUUUGUAUGUUGCUGAUCUUUGCAACAACUUACAAGGUAAAUAUUAUCCAUUUUAAAAAUGAGGAAGCAGAGAAGCUAAAUAACUUACCCAAGGUCAUACAGCCAGUAAGCGAUGAUGGGGCUGGAAUUUGAACCCAGGCUACCUGGCUCUAGAACCUGCACUUAUUUUUAAUAUUAUUAUUAUUUGCUUGAGGGAGAUUCACCCUGAGCUAACAUCUAUGUCAAUCUUCCUCUAUUUUGUAUGU
Molecule: long non-coding RNA, 1056 nt
Filed under: Equus asinus (donkey)
Lineage: Eukaryota; Metazoa; Chordata; Mammalia; Perissodactyla; Equidae
Description: lncRNA (ENSEASG00005031890.1)
Source: RNAcentral